This 497-nucleotide ribosomal RNA is filed under the name uncultured bacterium. Its description in RNAcentral is "partial 16S ribosomal RNA". It matches the Rfam family "Bacterial small subunit ribosomal RNA", at positions 28 to 507 of the family's 1533-position model. The record is from RNAcentral.
GAUGAACGCUGGCGGCGUGCCUAAUACAUGCAAGUCGAGCGAACGGACGAGAAGCUUGCUUUUCUGAUGUUAGCGGCGGACGGGUGAGUAACACGUGGAUAACCUACCUAUAAGACUGGGAUAACUUCGGGAAACCGGAGCUAAUACCGGAUAAUAUUUUGAACCGCAUGGUUCAAAAGUGAAAGACGGUCUUGCUGUCACUUAUAGAUGGAUCCGCGCUGCAUUAGCUAGUUGGUAAGGUAACGGCUUACCAAGGCAACGAUGCAUAGCCGACCUGAGAGGGUGAUCGGCCACACUGGAACUGAGACACGGUCCAGACUCUUACGGGAGGCAGCAGUAGGGAAUCUUCCGCAAUGGGCGAAAGUCUGACGGAGCAACGCCGCGUGAGUGAUGAAGGUCUUCGGAUCGUAAAACUCUGUUAUUAGGGAAGAACAUAUGUGUAAGUAACUGUGCACAUCUUGACGGUACCUAAUCAGAAAGCCACGGCUAACUACGUG